Molecule: unclassified non-coding RNA, 8005 nt
Filed under: Leishmania donovani
Lineage: Eukaryota; Euglenozoa; Kinetoplastea; Trypanosomatida; Trypanosomatidae
Description: gene:LdHU3.04.0410(CDS-product:hypothetical_prote in_conserved)
Source: RNAcentral
GCAGGAAAAUAUAUCACCCGCCACCAUCACCACCACCACCACCGCACCCUCUCUCCUUCUCUCGACGUGUGUGUGUGUAUCGGUUGCUGCGGCAUUGCCUCGUUUCGCUUUUUAUUUCCUCUUCGCGCGUCCAUACACAACGCCUCUCCCCCCUCCCCGCCCACGCGUACACAUCCGCCGCACGGCAGACAGGCACACAGGCAGCGCUGUGUUGGUGCUGCACCUGCCCAAGCACGCCCCCGCCCCUCGGCUUCACGUCAUCGCUGUGAUCUUCGAACGUCUUCGCCCCGGUUUCCGUUAUUUCUCCCUGUGGGGGGGUGUGGGGGUGGCUCGAGGAGGCUGUUGCCCCCUCCCUCCCCCCUCCCGUGUGGGUCUCGCCCAUCACCACCAUCACAUCACGCCCUCCUCCCAGACACAGGCACACGCACCACUCCUUAUGUGAACAGCGCUCUUCCUGCGCCGUUGUCGUGUGUAUACACCCGUACAGUGCGUAUAGCGGUGACUGUGGGUGCGCGCUAGCGUAUUGGCCGGUUUCAUCGUUCUACACCUGUCCUUGCCCAAUCGCCUCCCCUCCUCUUCCAGCCACAUCUGAGCGUAUCGUCGCCAUCGCCUGCGGGCUGCAAGGCGCCUCGCGCGUGCACGCCCUCCUCAGGGAGUGCGGAGAAGGCCCCAAAGCAAGACAAGGACCGUGAGGGAAAUCUGGGGGAGCACUCGAUUUCCUCGUGUGUCUGGCGAGGGAAGGCGGGAGGAGGAGGAAGAGGGGGGGUCAACCCAGUGCCAACGUAGUCGUCGGCUGCGUCGCCGCUCGCACGCACGCUACGCGCAAAGUCUUACACUGACGUGUAGCGGAGAAGGAACGCACUGGUUCUGCUGCCGUAGGGGGCACGCACGGGCAGAGCGAGGACUCACGGGUGAAGGAAGGGGAGAGCCGAAAGAAGACCUCGCGAUGCGCUACCCGCGCCCGACAUCCUUGCAGAAGGGCGAUGUGAUCAGUGAUGCGCGUAGCAGCAACAGCCCCACCCCGCUCUCCCUGGACGUGCCGUCGCCGGAGCAUGCGUGGACGGGCGUGGAGUUGACCCACACGCUGGACGGCACGCCUGCGGGAGGAGAGGGGGGCGCGGCGUUGGGGGCGGCGAGGACGUCCGCCAUCUUUUCUUUUCCCUUCAAUGCCGCUGCGGGUCGCCCGCUGCCAUCCUUUGCGCCGCUUCUCCCGACGCAGCGAACUCCGCUGUGGGUGGAUGCGACGAGCACCGAUGGCAGUGCGCACGUGCCGAAGCAGAAGAUGGGUGACGACGCCGCGGCAACACCGCAGCCUGCGCCCCCAUGUUCGAUAUCCAAGCCCCCCUUCCCCAGCGUUUCGGCGUCCGGGGCAACGACUAAAGGCUGUGGCGAGGGUCAUGAAGCUGCUGCCGCUUCUCCUGCUGCUCGCCGGCAGGUUCAACUCAGCCAGUGGGCCGUUUCUCCUUUGAACAGUCCGCUGUCCGUCCCCUCCGUCGCGGCAAGCACCCGCAGCCGAAACAAGCGCCGAUUCGAAGAUCUGACGCCGCUUGAGCAGAGGUUGGAAUCACCGGUGGCCUCCUCUUUCACCGACCUCUUUGUUGGCUUGGAGAGGCCGCGCCUGCGUGGUCGCCGACCGCGAGAGGGGCUUCAGCGCCGCGGCCACCACCGUCGCGUCCAUGCAGACGGCGUCUCCGAUGUUGAGGCGCAGGCGUCCCUGCUCUCCUCGUCGUCCUUAUCGCUGCAUCAGAUAUGCUCUACCAGCCAUUGUGAUGACACCUUCUCCGACGAGGACGACAUCGACGACGACAGCUACGAGAGCGCAACCGAGAACGAAGACGGCGCGAACACCCCUACCGUCUAUCGCAGCCCCCAGCUACCACACUGGUGGCGCAGCAUCGCGACCCCAGUACCAGGGACUCGCGUGUCUCUGAGACCGGACACGUGCCGCCACGAGUUUUGGUGGAUUGACCGACUCGGCUUCGAAGCUCACGAGAUUGUCCGCGUCGUCCUGAAGCACUCCCUCGAGGGGGUCGUGCUGCGCCGCAGCGGCGAGACGGCCGUUGUUGUGGAGUUUCGAAUUCUGCCGAAGCUAUUAAAAUCCACCAACUACGAUGUCGCGCGGCGAUCGCGCCAGCAGCGCGACGCGUCGCCAAGCCUGGCGGCAGAUGCGAGCGUGAGCGAGUCUCCCAGGAUGCCCUUCACGGAUAGCGCUCGCUCCCUCACCCCAACUGUCUCUCUCACCGGCUCCCAGCCGGUCGACGCGGCGGAGGCGGCGGAUUUGGGGGACCAACGCAUACGCAGUGGUAACCGCGGUAGCCGUACCGUCGGUAUUUCGUCUCCCGAUGUGCGUCUGCAGCUGCCGGAGCUAGUCCGAGCCGACAGCGGCGGCAAAGCAGAGUGCAGCCAAAGAGAGUUUGCGGAGCCGGCGACCAGUACGGCGAACGGCACCACCACAACCGCGGCCACAACGGUCACUACGACCAUAACGGCGACUGCAGGGUCAAUAGGCGGCCAGCUCACAUCGCCAUCGAGCUUUCCUCUGUCGCCGAAGCGUCCCACCAGGGAGUCCGUCUCUGGCGGCAGGGAGGAGAACACCCCCUCCACGCAGGUAUCUGUGCGCACAUCAUCCCUGCGCUCCCCUCUCUCGCCCAGCGCUCAUCCCUCACUCUCCCUUGCAGUCGGCAGCAUCGCGGUCACAGUGGCCGGCCGGUCGGCAGACUCAUUAGCAGAGCAAGACCCUCAAUGGCCUGUGCUGGCUCGUGUUCUCGAUACCACCACUAACCAGCACCAGCACCAGUCGUUGCGCCUGCCCGUCGCGCAAACAUCCCCGCGAACAAGCGCGGUAGCGGCAACGGUGAAGGCUGCCGAAAGCAUGAGCGGAAAUGGUGAGGCAGAGGCCGACGCGUCCGUGACGAAUGGCGGCGGCGGCGGCGGCGGUGAAAGCGCCCGCCCCUUGGCGCCCACGAGCGUAAAACCGAACGCCAACGGAAGCUCCACCAGCGUCCUCCCGGUGGCGAUGUCGCCAGUGCGGCGCCUCAUCCAAGAGAGCCGCCCCGCGACGAAGCUGGAUGCGGUGCACAACACGAGCAUCGUUGGUGGCGCCGAUGACGUCGUGGCCAGCGUGGAACCGACAUCGUCCAUGGGCACUCAAGGCAGCAUUGGCUGCCCGUCUCCCUGGCGCUCCUCUCCACAGCCGCAGUUGCCGUGCGGCAAGCUGCCUCCUACGGUCAAGGUGAACUCAAUGGUCGCGAACGGCACGGGGUCGGGGAGCUCGCACAGCUGCAUCCGCAACAACCACAGCGGCGGUAAUACUCACCUGUCUAGCAUCUCGGAGGAGGGAACGUUCCUCGUCCACGUGGAGCUGCACCACAAUUUGAAGAACGUCGGCGUGAAUCAACGGAGAAAUGGCGGCGCUGUCGUCGCUCCACCUGCUGCAUCCGCGUUCAAUCCGCUGCCUUCUGCCAGCAGUCACUCCGGCCCCGCGCUGCCCGGCAACUCGAACAGCGACUGGCAGCACGGCAGCCAGCGAUCGCAGCAACCGCACCCGUGGACUGUAGGGCGACAGCUGUCGCCACGGCAACCUCACCGCCAGCAUACAUUGAGCAGCCCCAUCAGCGCCGCCAACUUGUACCCCGACACAACAGAAAAGGUGGUUGCGGCUGCUGCAGAGGCUGCGCGCUUGGAGGACGCCAUUGUUCCAACUACAGCAGCGGCAGCAACUCCCUCGCAGCAGCAACCGGCGGUUUGGGGUACGCCGCAGCACGCUAUGGACGAAGACGACGACUCCGUUGUGGCGAUUCUCACGCUGCCGAUCUCUGUGUGUACGCCGAUCGUCGUGGCGCGCCUCCAUGCGAUGCGUAUCCUGCAUCCCCUUCUGCCUGCCAUUACCGCCCUGCACGGCCCCGCCUUCUCGGCCAGCAUAGCUGGUGAUUACCGCAACUCGGAUAACACGGAUACAGACAGCAGCGAUGAAGCGCUGGUCACCGCACCGCAGCCGUCAAACGCGACACCGCCGUCUUCGCCCGCAGCGGGUGCGCAGGGCCCCGACUACGCUGGCGCUAUUCGCCUCCUCAGCGAAGCGAUCGAAUUGUUUAAGGAAGAGAAGAACGCCGAGGAGGAGGCGCCGCCGUCGAUGAUGCCCACCCCAGAAGACCACGCGCCGACGCGUGCCCGCGAUCUUUCUAUCCUGUACACAGUCCGCAGCCACCUCCUCUUCCACGCCUCGCCGACGUGCCUUCGCGACAGCCUUCAAGAUGCCGAGGCGGCACUGCGGUGCUGCCCCGCCAGGGAUCAUAUCAACCCCACCUACGAGGUACUCGCCGCAAACCUGAUCAGCUUUGGCUACGUAUCCGAGGUGGAGGGCCUGGCCGGGCACUUGCGGCACCGCUGGCGUGCCGCAUCGCCGCUGCUUCUCCGUCUCGGCCGCGUCACACAGGUGAUGGUGUCGUACGCGUCCAUCUUUCUGCGCCAGCAGCUUCCGACGUCCACGUUGCGCCUGUGCGCCGGUGGCAGUGCAAACAUGAUGCUGCCCAGCAAUACCAGCGACACCGCCACGGGAAGCCCGUCGCUGACGGCCAUCUCGCUCUCGCCCCGGUCGACCCCGCUACCGACGGAGCACACCAGCUCCUAUCUCGGUCACCGUGGCGACGAGCGCUCGUCGCGUCCUGAGGUAGCUGCCGCCACCGCCAACACGCUCCUCCAGCCGCACAAGCUGCCGUACGAGGUCUGUCCGCUGCCUUUGGGCCGCCACGGCAGAACCCUGCACAACCGCGACGAGCCGCCGCGGCAGUCGUCGCCGAUAUCGACGUCGCCUCUGUCCUUCCCCGCGACAGGCGCCGACAGCGCCAGCGCAGACUCGAUGCCGCACCUGCGCUCACCGCUUCGCGGUUCCCGUCAAUCCAGCCGUCCCUUCCGUCCUGGCGCCGACGUGUGCCACCGCCGCCUAUUCCUCCUCGAGAUGCUCUUCCCCAGCAUGAACCCAGCGCCGGUGAGUCCGCUGCCGCUUCCCGUGUCGCGCGGGUACCGUGGCGCGACGGGGCGACGAGGCUGGCAGCCGAACAGCACCAAGGUGACGAUCAGUGGCGGCAAUGACAACGCCACCCCCUCCAACGUCGUCAUUGUCCCGAAAACCGAGACGACGCGGCCGGUGAGGGCGGAAGACUUCAUGUACGAUCGGAACUCCAUGCUGGCCCUCCUGGUCGCCACGGCCGACACGACAAUGCAGUGGGGCACGGUGCCGAUGUGCUACUUCUGCCGCCACAUCCGCCUCUCCGCCACGCGCCGCAUUCAAAAAGAUGAGGUCAUCUUCGUGGAGCGCCCAGCCAUUCUGAUGCCCUUCUGGCCGCUGCUCCCGUCGCGAUUGGCGUCGGCGUCUACCGGUGCCGCUGCGCCCCGUAGCAGCAGCGGCACCGGCGCCGGGGUGAGCGACAGGCCUGUCAGCACUACGCCAGAGCCGUCGUGCUGCGCGCAGUGUGGGCGACAACGGCUUGCGAAACCUGUGAACUGCCCUGGCGGUUGUCACUCCGUCUACUGCUCCGAGCAGUGCCGGCAACGGGCGCUGCGGCUGUAUCACGUGGUGGAGUGUGGCGGCGUUCCACCAGACCCCAACAACGCGGGCGUUCUCGAGCCUGGCGAUGACGUGGGGGCGCGAGUGCGACGCACCGUGGCGGUGCUGCAGGACGUCUUCUCCGACUGGAAUAGUUACUUGCACCACCUCGCUCGCUGGGAUACCCCGAGCACCCGCCUCACAGCUCAGCACGCCGCGUGCUCGCCAGUGACAACGCCCGGUGCGUCACCCGUGUCGCCAUCGCCGGUAGGUGAAAUGCCUAGACAUGACGCAUCCCAGCAGCAGCAGCAGCCCGGUGGUUCGGACGGUGAGACGCCUGCGCAGGAGAAGCGGAGCUGCGCGCCGCCACCAAUCCUGACCGUCACGGCGAUGCGGGUGGUGGCGAGGCUUGAGGCGAUGAUGCUGAGUUUGGCUCUGCCGCUGGAGCUGCUACCUCAGAUGCAGAACCACCCGACGUGGACAGCAGAGCGGCACGCGAUGAUGCGCGCUGCAGCUCGCACGCUGCGUCAACGCGGACUUAUGGUGCCGGCGUCAACCACACGCGGCGUCAACUUGUACUGCACGCAUGUGGACCCCCAGCGACUCUUGCUGCUCGAGGUGCUGUUGCAGCAGCUCUCCGUUCCCUUCUUCGCCGACUUCAACUACCGCGCUUCGCCCACCGUCUGGGAGAAGGUGAGUCGGAUUCCGUGCGAGGUGGCGCGCAGCUCCGGCAACGCGGUCGUCACGACCGGUCCUGAAAAAUCGGUGGCCAGCCCGGUGGACGGCUUGGGGCCGGACAUGUUCCGCAGCCUGCCCCUCCCACACACGCCGUCGCCCGUGCCCGCCAAAGCGCCGCAGCAACGCAACUGUUUUGUGGAGCUGACGCCCGCGCAGUUGGAGGAGCUGCUCUGCGACUUGCACAGCAUGCUGCAUCGAGUCUACCAGGUUGUCGCGAAGGAGCUGGCCGACGUGCCCUCCAUCCCCCUCUGUGGCGCGGAGGGGGAGGAAAAGAACAGCCUCGAGUGGGGCCUCCCCGGUCGGUGGAACUGUGUCGAACUUCUCGGCUUCCUCAACAGCACGCGAGCAUUCCAGCAGAUCAGCGACUUUGCCUUGACGAGUUGGGCGGUGGUGUACCCGCGCGACAUGGAGCCGCCAAACGUCGCUGCCGCAAUGGCGGCGGACCACCGUAACACGCCACAGGCCCGGCCCAUCUUUGUAGGCGACGAUCGCCCGCUGAACAUCAAUCCCCACCACCACCACCACCACCACCCCAACCAGAGCAGCACCAUCACGAACGAGUUCAGCCACGCGAACCCGAGCGACAUGAACACGGUUGCGGUGCCACUCGUCGUGAUUAGUCCAUGGUCAUGCUUGACGGUGGACCUGCACCCGAUUCUGGGCAACGUCCCCAGCGGCGUCAUACACUCUCGCUUCAUGAUCGAGCACGAGCAGCGGCGACGUAUGCUCGCCUACUGCGCGGCCGCAGCAGGGCGUCGCGGUGGCGACGGCAUCGGCGGGGGUAGCGUGAGCGAGGAUUCUUUUCUCUCUGUCCACUCGGCAUCCUCGACAUCGGCGGCGGCGCUGCUCACCGGCGACGACUCUGCUCGGACAGGGUCGUUGCGCGACAAUCUCAACCUUCAGCUGCUCGAGGAGGCUGCUCAGCGCAGCUGCUCCAACCUGCACAUCUCCCUCGUCUAUACCCCAUCCAAAGAGCCCGCAGUGCUCGCCGUGGCAAAGAAAAACAUCACCCAUGGGGACGUGCUGUGGUGGGAGUCACUGAGCUGCCGCGAGUACCUUUCCGCGCUCCUGUAGCGGCGCGCGUCAUGUGGCACACAUGAAGACGCUCGCCCUCCAUCUUCCCGACCUCGCGACGGGGCGAACGUGCUUGUGUCUGUCUGCCGCCUCCGCGGAGGUAUCGAGAGGGGGGGGGCGUGGCCGCACGGGAUGCAGCGAAAGAUAUGAAUACGCAUAUAUGUGUAUAUGUAUGUACAGUUUGCUGCUUUGUUUUCGUAUCUGUGCGACUCUAUCCUCUUCCGGCGUGUAUUUGCGUUUUUCGAAGUGGUUAAUAAACGAUGCAGAGCCCUGCACGCACGUCCGUGUGCGUGCAUGUGUGUGUGUGUGUGUGUGUGCUUGUGUUCGCGUGACGACGGCAAGGAGGAAGACGUGAGUGGGGGUGCCAGAGAGUUUGAACAACAGACUCAGCUAUACAAGGAGCCUACUGCUUUACGCCCCUCCCGCUCUGUAAGGACUACGCUCUCGUUUUUCAUCACGGCUCUUUGCCUCCCUCCUCACUCAUGUCUCAUUUCUGAUGUUGUUCCUUCGUUUUCUCUCUCGGGAUGUCGCUGACACGCGGGCCAGUCGAUGGGCCGCCGCCUCACCUCCCAAGGCAACUGCCAUAUCCAUGGCACCUUUGCUUUUCUUCCGUUGAACCAUGGUCCUGUGCUUGCCACAUGCACAUAC